UUUAAUAAAUAUAUUUCCCUAAAGAUGUUGUGUUUAUAUGCUACAGUGUUAUUUUUUCAUGUUUUAACUAAUGUUUCCAAAACCUUGGAUAAAAUGUGGAGUCGUGAAUAUUAAUUUAUCAACUAAAGAAAAAUUAAAUGAUUUAUAAUGUUAUGUGCCCAGCCUCAGUUUCCUUUCUGUAGUUACGGUGAUGGUGGAAUUUGAAGACUGCUAUAGCAUCAGAAUUGUGUUCCAUUUGAAUUUAUACAAAGUUGAAGGUUUUCACAAUUAAGAUAACCAUUUCCUCCAAAUGGCAAUACUAAAUUAAAUGAUGUACAAUCAUGGCGUCAAUUACCCAGUCCUCUGCCAGAAAAAAAAAACAAAAAUUCCCUGAGAUCACCAAGGCAGCCUUGUGGGAAGUAGCCAUGCUCACCUAGAACAUUCGAACACUUAAAACAUGCAGCACAGAUCAAAAGGGAUAUUUUAGGAUGAACUUCAGCAGACCUCUGGGUCCUUCAGUGCUUUCUUUGUACCCAGUGAACUCGCAAGAGACUUUUACAUUGAAUUCUUGGAAAUCAGUUACAGGGAUACACAGAACGUGCUUCUAUCAGUCUUUCCUUACAGCAACUGACCGUGUAUUUGCUUGACAGCAAAUACGAAGCUGGCCUGCUGGCUCAGAGGGGCUCCUCUGUCACACACGCAGGGGACACACGCGAAGAGAAGAACCACAUGGGUGUGACAAGCAAGCCAUGAUUUCAUGGGCAUCCACUUUUGCAGUUUCUGUUUUAAAAGUUAUGGCCACAACCAGAGUGGUAUGUUCCUCAACGGACAUGUUUUGAGCAGCCCAGAAGGGUCAGGGACAGGAGAGGGGUGGGACCUCAAGGAAGAUGACCAUGAGCAUCAACCCCGGGGCAAGCCUAGCCUCUCCCCCGAGCUAUGGACUGCUGGGGCGGAACGCGGGUGGGCUCCAACACGCAAGUCCACAUGGAACGCUUGUUCCCACACAAACAACUCUGGGACCAGUAACGAGGGUGGGGUUAGGUUGCACGUCUUUACACGUGUCUACAGCAGUGUCCUUGAACGCCGGACUACGCCAUCCGGACUCUACCACAGGAAGCAAGUGGCGCAGACACCACCCGGCACAAGCUGA
RNAcentral lists this long non-coding RNA (1129 nucleotides) under Capra hircus (goat). RNAcentral's name for it is "lncRNA (ENSCHIG00010026766.1)". The record is from RNAcentral. Lineage: Eukaryota; Metazoa; Chordata; Mammalia; Artiodactyla; Bovidae.